AACGAACGCUGGCGGCAUGCCUAACACAUGCAAGUCGAACGAGACCUUCGAGUCUAGUGGCGCACGGGUGCGUAACGCGUGGGAACCUGCCCUUAGGUUCGGAAUAACUCCCCGAAAGGGGUGCUAAUACCGGAUAAUGUCUUCGGACCAAAGAUUUAUCGCCUUUGGAUGGGCCCGCGUUGGAUUAGCUAGUUGGUAGGGUAAAAGCCUACCAAGGCGACGAUCCAUAGCUGGUCUGAGAGGAUGAUCAGCCACACUGGGACUGAGACACGGCCCAGACUCCUACGGGAGGCAGCAGUGGGGAAUAUUGGACAAUGGGCGAAAGCCUGAUCCAGCAAUGCCGCGUGAGUGAUGAAGGCCUUAGGGUUGUAAAGCUCUUUUACCCGGGAAGAUAAUGACAGUACCGGGAGAAUAAGCUCCGGCUAACUCCGUG
RNAcentral lists this ribosomal RNA (433 nucleotides) under uncultured bacterium. Its description in RNAcentral is "partial 16S ribosomal RNA". It matches the Rfam family "Bacterial small subunit ribosomal RNA", at positions 29 to 507 of the family's 1533-position model. The record is from RNAcentral.